GGGGGCGAUCUGGCUUCGACGUGGGUAGCGAAGCUUUAAGUGCAUGCCGAGGACUGUACACCUCGUAAAUCCUACAGAAACUAAGUAUUCGCAAACGACGAAAACUACUCAGUGGCCUUAGCAGCUUAAAACCUGCACCACUUCUCUGACUAAAUGUGCUUAUGCGUUUAGAGUCCUUUCGGGGACGCUCAGGGAUCAUUUUACAUAAGAUCGCGUCAAGGCUUCGUCCGUAGCUGGCAGCGCUAAACCCAAUCGGAACCGCUGUUGAUCCUCUUGGCCCGACGGGUAGUCAACAGUUAAAUUAAAAGCGCGGGAUAAGCAUGUAGAGCUUACAGUGGAGUGCUUACGGACGGGGGUUCAAUUCCCCCCGCCUCCACCA
Molecule: transfer-messenger RNA, 379 nt
Filed under: Methylococcales
Lineage: Bacteria; Pseudomonadati; Pseudomonadota; Gammaproteobacteria
Also listed under: 1 other name
Description: WM-3-3 sp002928495 Standard tmRNA
Rfam family: transfer-messenger RNA
About the family: Bacterial tmRNA, also known as 10Sa RNA or SsrA, is named for its dual tRNA and mRNA-like properties.
Source: RNAcentral